Molecule: ribosomal RNA, 465 nt
Filed under: uncultured bacterium
Lineage: Bacteria
Description: partial 16S ribosomal RNA
Rfam family: Bacterial small subunit ribosomal RNA
Source: RNAcentral
GACGAACGCUGGCGGCGUGCUUAACACAUGCAAGUCGAACGGAAAGGCCCCUUUGGGGGUACUCGAGUGGCGAACGGGUGAGUAACACGUGAGUAACCUGCCCUUGACUUCGGGAUAACUUCAGGAAACUGGGGCUAAUACCGGAUAGGAAUCCUUGCUGCAUGGUGGGGGUUGGAAAGCUUCGGCGGUUUUGGAUGGACUCGCGGCUUAUCAGCUUGUUGGUGGGGUAGUGGCUUACCAAGGGUUUGACGGGUAGCCGGCCUGGGAGGGCGACCGGCCACAUUGGGACUGAGAUACGGCCCAGACUCCUACGGGAGGCAGCAGGGGGGAAUAUUGCACAAUGGGCGGAAGCCUGAUGCAGCAACGCCGCGUGCGGGAUGACGGCCUUCGGGUUGUAAACCGCUUUCAACAGGGGCGAAGCUUGUGGUGACGGUACCUGCAGAAGAAGCACCGGCUAACUACGUG